RNAcentral lists this ribosomal RNA (239 nucleotides) under uncultured bacterium. RNAcentral's name for it is "partial small subunit ribosomal RNA". It matches the Rfam family "Bacterial small subunit ribosomal RNA", at positions 26 to 287 of the family's 1533-position model. The record is from RNAcentral.
AGGAUGAACGCUGGCGGCGUGCCUAAACAUGCAAGUCAUACGGGUCUACCUUCGGGUAGCCAGUGGCAAACGGGUGAGUAACACGUGGGAACGCGCCUUGGGGUGGGGAAUAACGCUGAGAAAUCAGUGCUAAUACCGCAUAUGGUCUAACGACUAAAGCAGCAAUGCGCCCCGAGAGCGGCCCGCGACCGAUUAGCUAGUUGGUGGGGUAAUGGCCUACCAAGGCGGUGAUCGGUAGC